This 910-nucleotide ribosomal RNA is filed under the name uncultured bacterium. RNAcentral's name for it is "bacterial SSU rRNA". It matches the Rfam family "Bacterial small subunit ribosomal RNA", at positions 8 to 916 of the family's 1533-position model. The record is from RNAcentral.
AGAGUUUGAUCCUGGCUCAGAUUGAACGCUGGCGGCAUGCCUUACACAUGCAAGUCGAACGGCAGCGCGGGGCAACCUGGCGGCGAGUGGCGAACGGGUGAGUAAUAUAUCGGAACGUGCCCUGGAGUGGGGGAUAACGCAGCGAAAGUUGCGCUAAUACCGCAUACGAUCUAAGGAUGAAAGCAGGGGACCGCAAGGCCUUGUGCUCCUGGAGCGGCCGAUAUCUGAUUAGCUAGUUGGUGGGGUAAAGGCCUACCAAGGCAUCGAUCAGUAGCUGGUCUGAGAGGACGACCAGCCACACUGGAACUGAGACACGGUCCAGACUCCUACGGGAGGCAGCAGUGGGGAAUUUUGGACAAUGGGCGCAAGCCUGAUCCAGCAAUGCCGCGUGAGUGAAGAAGGCCUUCGGGUUGUAAAGCUCUUUUGUCAGGGAAGAAACGGUGCGGGCUAAUAUCCUGUGCUAAUGACGGUACCUGAAGAAUAAGCACCGGCUAACUACGUGCCAGCAGCCGCGGUAAUACGUAGGGUGCAAGCGUUAAUCGGAAUUACUGGGCGUAAAGCGUGCGCAGGCGGUUUUGUAAGUCUGACGUGAAAUCCCCGGGCUCAACCUGGGAAUUGCGUUGGAGACUGCAAGGCUAGAAUCUGGCAGAGGGGGGUAGAAUUCCACGUGUAGCAGUGAAAUGCGUAGAGAUGUGGAGGAACACCGAUGGCGAAGGCAGCCCCCUGGGUCAAGAUUGACGCUCAUGCACGAAAGCGUGGGGAGCAAACAGGAUUAGAUACCCUGGUAGUCCACGCCGUAAACGAUGAGUGCUAGACGUCGGGGAGCUUGCUCUUCGGUGUCGCCGCUAACGCAUUAAGCACUCCGCCUGGGGAGUACGGUCGCAAGAUUAAAACUCAAAGGAAUUGACGG